RNAcentral lists this ribosomal RNA (1380 nucleotides) under Arnium leporinum. RNAcentral describes it as "LSU rRNA". It matches the Rfam family "Eukaryotic large subunit ribosomal RNA", at positions 34 to 1446 of the family's 3401-position model. The record is from RNAcentral. Lineage: Eukaryota; Fungi; Ascomycota; Sordariomycetes; Sordariales; Lasiosphaeriaceae.
UUAAGCAUAUCAAUAAGCGGAGGAAAAGAAACCAACAGGGAUUGCCCUAGUAACGGCGAGUGAAGCGGCAACAGCUCAAAUUUGAAAUCUGGCUUCGGCCCGAGUUGUAAUUUGUAGAGGGAGCUUUUGGCGAGGCACCUACUGAGUCCCCUGGAACGGGGCGCCAUAGAGGGUGAGAGCCCCGUAUAGUAGGACGCCGAGCCUUUGUAAAGCCCCUUCGACGAGUCGAGUAGUUUGGGAAUGCUGCUCAAAAUGGGAGGUAAAUUUCUUCUAAAGCUAAAUAUUGGCCAGAGACCGAUAGCGCACAAGUAGAGUGAUCGAAAGAUGAAAAGCACUUUGAAAAGAGGGUUAAACAGCACGUGAAAUUGUUGAAAGGGAAGCGCUUGUGACCAGACUUGCGCCUGGCUGAUCAUCCGGUGUUCUCACCGGUGCACUCGGCCAGGCUCAGGCCAGCAUCGGUUCUCGCGGGGGGAUAAAGACCUGGGGAACGUAGCUCCUCCGGGAGUGUUAUAGCCCUGGGUGCAACGCCCUCGCGGGGACCGAGGUUCGCGCAUCUGCAAGGAUGCUGGCGUAAUGGUCAUCAGCGACCCGUCUUGAAACACGGACCAAGGAGUCAAGGUUUUGCGCGAGUGUUUGGGUGUUAAACCCGCACGCGUAAUGAAAGUGAACGUAGGUGAGAGCUUCGGCGCAUCAUCGACCGAUCCUGAUGUUUUCGGAUGGAUUUGAGUAGGAGCGUUAAGCCUUGGACCCGAAAGAUGGUGAACUAUGCUUGGAUAGGGUGAAGCCAGAGGAAACUCUGGUGGAGGCUCGCAGCGGUUCUGACGUGCAAAUCGAUCGUCAAAUCUGAGCAUGGGGGCGAAAGACUAAUCGAACCAUCUAGUAGCUGGUUACCGCCGAAGUUUCCCUCAGGAUAGCAGUGUUGUUCUUCAGUUUUAUGAGGUAAAGCGAAUGAUUAGGGACUCGGGGGCGCUUUUUAGCCUUCAUCCAUUCUCAAACUUUAAAUAUGUAAGAAGCCCUUGUUACUUAAUUGAACGUGGGCAUUCGAAUGUACCAACACUAGUGGGCCAUUUUUGGUAAGCAGAACUGGCGAUGCGGGAUGAACCGAACGCGGGGUUAAGGUGCCAGAGUGGACGCUCAUCAGACACCACAAAAGGCGUUAGUACAUCUUGACAGCAGGACGGUGGCCAUGGAAGUCGGAAUCCGCUAAGGACUGUGUAACAACUCACCUGCCGAAUGUACUAGCCCUGAAAAUGGAUGGCGCUCAAGCGUCCCACCCAUACCCCGCCCUCAGGGUAGAAACGAUGCCCUGAGGAGUAGGCGGCCGUGGAGGUCAGUGACGAAGCCUAGGGCGUGAGCCCGGGUCGAACGGCCUCUAGUGCA